RNAcentral lists this ribosomal RNA (158 nucleotides) under uncultured bacterium. RNAcentral describes it as "partial 16S ribosomal RNA". It matches the Rfam family "Bacterial small subunit ribosomal RNA", at positions 1345 to 1500 of the family's 1533-position model. The record is from RNAcentral.
CAGGUCAGCAUACUGCCGUGAAUACGUUCCCGGGCCUUGUACACACCGCCCGUCACACCAUGAGAGUUGGGGAUACCCGAAGCCUGUGAGCCAACAGUUUACUGAGGCAGCAGUCGAAGGUAGAAUCAAUGAUUGGGGUGAAGUCGUAACAAGGUACC